GCUGGCGGCGGGUGAGUAAUGCAUAGGAAUUUGCCUCGAGGUGGGGGAUAGCCCGGAGAAAUCCGGAUUAAUACCGCGUAACCUUUACGAAGCAAAGUGGGCCUCUUCUUGAAAGCUCACGCCUGGAGAUAAGCCUAUGUCGGAUUAGCUUGUUGGUAGGGUAACGGCCUACCAAGGCGACGAUCCGUAGCUGGUCUGAGAGGAUGAUCAGCCACACUGGAACUGAGACACGGUCCAGACUCCUACGGGAGGCAGCAGUGGGGAAUAUUGCACAAUGGGCGCAAGCCUGAUGCAGCAAUGCCGCGUGUGUGAAGAAGGCCUGCGGGUUGUAAAGCACUUUUAUCGGGAAAGAAAAAUUCAAGGUUAAUACCCUUGGACUUGACGGUACCUGAAGAAUAAGCACCGGCUAACUCAGUGCCAGCAGCCGCGGUAAUACUGAGGGUGCAAGCGUUAAUCGGAAUUACUGGGCGUAAAGCGAGUGUAGGCGGCUGCGUAAGUCGGAUGUGAAAGCCCUGGGCUUAACCUGGGAAUGGCAUUCGAUACUGCGCGGCUAGAGUCUGAUAGAGGGAAGUGGAAUUCCAGGUGUAGCGGUGAAAUGCGUAGAUAUCUGGAGGAACAUCAGUGGCGAAGGCGGCUUCCUGGAUCAAGACUGACGCUCAGGCUCGAAAGCGUGGGUAGCAAACAGGAUUAGAUACCCUGGUAGUCCACGCCCUA
Molecule: ribosomal RNA, 714 nt
Filed under: uncultured Gammaproteobacteria bacterium
Lineage: Bacteria; Pseudomonadati; Pseudomonadota; Gammaproteobacteria
Description: bacterial SSU rRNA
Rfam family: Bacterial small subunit ribosomal RNA
Source: RNAcentral